Sapajus apella (tufted capuchin) is the source of this 1349-nucleotide long non-coding RNA. RefSeq lists it as uncharacterized. The transcript is spliced from 3 exons. NCBI's taxonomy places the organism in Eukaryota, Metazoa, Chordata, Mammalia, Primates, Cebidae. The record is from RefSeq and is a predicted model, not a curated record.
AUGAAUGUUUUUAGAGUUAAAAUAUGGUAAAAUUUACAUAUGUGGUGUUGUAUGAAAAAUACGGUUAAUAUUAGUAGAUAUAAGCCACAAAAACAAAAGUUUUCUGUAGUUCUAAGCAAUUUUUAAGCAUAUAAAGAUGUCCUGAGCCCCCAGAAUUUGAGCACCACUGCUCUAUGCCAUGCUAGAAAGCCUGGGGAUUGUUUACUCUUGGUCAGCCACUCCCUAUUAUGAAAUCAACUGUGUCAGGGAGCAGAGGUCUGGUGGGUAGGUUUGGUGUAAGGCAUGGCCAUGAAUACCCAUUCCUCAGGUCCAGGUGGGGCAGCCAUCCCUUAGAAGGAGCUGUAGGGGCAGCAGGUGCCAUGAUCAAAUGGCCAGCACACUGGUCGAGUUUGGCUCAUCCUUUAGAUGCUCACAGACUCCGGGAAGCUGGUGUUCUCUUGGGCUAACGUGGCUAUGCCCUAGACCUUGCUAACCUUAAAAGCCUUGUGACUUGGUUUGGCUCUGUGUCCCCACCAAAAUCUCAUCUUGAAUUGUUAUCCCCACGUGUCGAGGGAGGGAAAUGACUGGAUCAUGGGGGCGGUUUCUCCCAUCCUGUUCUCAUGAUAGUGAGUGCGUUCUCAUGAGAUCUGAUGGUUUUAUACUCAUCUGGCAUUUCCCCUUCUUGCAGUUCUCUGUCCUGUUCCCAUGUGAAGAAGGUCCUUGCAUCCCAUUCUGCCAUGAUUGUAAGUUUCCUGAGGCUUCCCCAGCCAUGUGGAACUAUUCCCAGAAUGGAGCCCCAGCAGAGGAGCAGGCAGAUAUCGGCUGCUGCUCUCAGCCUCCUCUCAGCACCCUUGUCUACACGCAGGGGUUCUGCCAAGCUGAGCUGAACCAGAAACCCACUUGGGAGAGACCCAGGAGCUGAGAAGCACUAGCCAGUGGUAGUAGCCCUUCCAGUGGUCCCUCCAAAUUCACGGCCCCAGGAGUGGAGAAGCCCUGCUUGAUGCUCUCUGGCGUCAGCUCCUGAAGGUUCUGAGGGGAGGGAUGCCUUGGAGUGCAGAUUAGGAAGUCUGUGAACUCACUCCAGACCAUGCAGGGAAAGGGAGGUGCCCCAGGUUUGCUUUUUCUGCCCUUCCUUACUGGUGCUACCUUUGUAUUCUCAUCAGGAACCCAGUUGCAUUAUGUUGUCUUCGGCUUCCCUGCAUAUCUCAGCCCUACCUCAAGAAAGGAUGAGGAAGCUGAGUCUCAAAAGGCUAAGUGACCAUAUUCUCACAGCAAGUGAUGGAACGCGAAUCUGAAGCCAGGGGUAUGUGACCUCAAAGCCCAUGCAGCUCCCACAAGGGUGGUGUUUCCUACCUGGCCCUUUUUAUUCC